RNAcentral lists this ribosomal RNA (500 nucleotides) under uncultured bacterium. RNAcentral's name for it is "partial 16S ribosomal RNA". It matches the Rfam family "Bacterial small subunit ribosomal RNA", at positions 29 to 523 of the family's 1533-position model. The record is from RNAcentral.
AUUGAACGCUGGCGGCAUGCCUUACACAUGCAAGUCGAACGGCAGCACGGGAGCAAUCCUGGUGGCGAGUGGCGAACGGGUGAGUAAUAUAUCGGAACGUGCCCAGUCGUGGGGGAUAACGCAGCGAAAGCUGUGCUAAUACCGCAUACGAUCUAAGGAUGAAAGCGGGGGAUCGCAAGACCUCGCGCGAGUGGAGCGGCCGAUAUCAGAUUAGCUAGUUGGUGGGGUAAAGGCCCACCAAGGCGACGAUCUGUAGCUGGUCUGAGAGGACGACCAGCCACACUGGAACUGAGACACGGUCCAGACUCCUACGGGAGGCAGCAGUGGGGAAUUUUGGACAAUGGGCGCAAGCCUGAUCCAGCAAUGCCGCGUGCAGGAUGAAGGCCUUCGGGUUGUAAACUGCCUUUGUACGGAACGAAACGGCCCUUUCUAAUACAGGGGGCUAAUGACGGUACCGUAAGAAUAAGCACCGGCUAACUACGUGCCAGCAGCCGCGGUAA